ACAGUCUGCCGUUCCAUCGUUCUCUGUCAUCCGGUGAAAGCCGGCCGAUUGGGGGAAGGAAAGUCCGGGCAACACAGAGCACCAUACUUUCUAACAGAAAGAUAUCCGUGAGGGUAUAUUAGUGUAACAGAAAAUAACCACCCUGUAUUCCUGCAACAUCAGGAUCCGGGGAACGGGUGAAAAGGUGAGGUAAAAGCUCACCGGUAUUGGUGGUGACAUCAAUAGCCGUACGCAUUAUGGGUUGAAAGACCAUGUAUACCGGCUUUAAGGAUUGCUCGUCCGAUGCCGGGGGGUAGGUCGUUAGAUCCGGUCAGCAAUGGCCGGACGAGAUAAAUGAUGGAAUCCGGUUUAAAUUUCUUUUGCAGAAAGCCUGACCGGAACAGAAUCCGGCUUACAGGCAGACUGUAUUC
RNAcentral lists this RNase P RNA (410 nucleotides) under Bacteroidales bacterium. Its description in RNAcentral is "RNase P RNA component class A". It matches the Rfam family "Bacterial RNase P class A". From Rfam's summary of the family: Ribonuclease P (RNase P) is a ubiquitous endoribonuclease, found in archaea, bacteria and eukarya as well as chloroplasts and mitochondria. Lineage: Bacteria; Pseudomonadati; Bacteroidota; Bacteroidia; Bacteroidales. The record is from RNAcentral.